AUGUCCAUCAUUCAAAAACACUUUGCCGAGAUCGCCAAGCGAGGCCCACCCAGGGGCAAUGACAUAAAUUGGGAGGAUAUCCCCGCUGCCACUUGUAACCUCUCGGACCUUGGGGUUGUUUUUACCGAGGACGAAGUCAAGGCUGCCAUCUUCGAUCUUCCCAUUGACAAAGCGCCAGCGCCUGAUUGGUUCUAUGGGGCUUUCUUUAAGGAUUGUUGGUAUAUCAUCAAAGGGGACAUCAUGCUUGUUGUUAACUACUUCUCGAGCUUACAUACUUGCAACCUCCAUUGGCUCAACUCGGCAAAUAUUGUCCGCAUUCGAAAGAAGGAUGGGGCGGACUUCCAACCUAUUAGCCUCAUACAUGCCAUUACCAAGAAUAUCGCAAAAAUUAUUGCCACACAUCUCGCUCCACACAUGCCUACUCUUGUCUCCAAAGCCUAAAGUGCUUUUAUUAAGAAGAGAAGCAUCCACGAUAACUUCAUGUACGUACAAAAUUUUGCAAGACAUUUCCACCGCAAAAAAAUCUAUGUUGAUUUUCAAGAUCGACAUCAAGAAGCUUUUGACUCCGUGAGAUGGGAUUUUCUGACGGAGCUCUUGAGACACCAUGGCUUCCUGAGUUGCUUUAGAGAGUGGGUUUCGGCCCUCCUAUCCAUAACAUAUUCGCGAGUGUUGAUCAAUCGUGUGAUUGGAGACCCGUUGAAGCAUGGUCAUGAUCUUCGACAAGGGGGUCUGCUCUCCGCUCUCCUCUUUGUAUUGGCAAUCAACCCUUUGCAUCACAUCCAAAACUGGGCCACGACUCAAGGUCGGCUUCAUCGUCUCCAUGCGAGGACCCCAACAAUUCAUGCAUCUCUGUAUGCUGAUGAUGUUGCCAUGUUUGUGGCGCCCAUUAAGGUGGAUAUUCAAUUCCUUGCUGCAACUCCUUACUCCUUUGGUGAGGUGACUGUCCUUGUCACAAAUUGCUCCAAAAUCCUUGUGGCUCCCAUCCAAUGUGACAAUGUCAAUCUUGACUACAUCCUCCUCUCAUUCUUGGCCGUGCGAACAUCCUUUCCAAUGAGAUACUCCCCCCUUGUCUGUCAAGCGCCUUAA
RNAcentral lists this ribosomal RNA (1086 nucleotides) under Triticum aestivum (bread wheat). RNAcentral describes it as "partial small subunit ribosomal RNA". Lineage: Eukaryota; Viridiplantae; Streptophyta; Magnoliopsida; Poales; Poaceae. The record is from RNAcentral.